Molecule: long non-coding RNA, 1116 nt
Organism: Chinchilla lanigera (long-tailed chinchilla)
Lineage: Eukaryota; Metazoa; Chordata; Mammalia; Rodentia; Chinchillidae
Source: Ensembl
CUUAGCUCCGCUGGCACUGGCCGGUGCUCUGCUUGGCUACGCUGCCACUCUCACCCUCAGCUGUAGCUGAGCCCAACUUUUCUGGCCAUGCUAAGCAGCCGCUGUGCCAAGCCCCCUCCUGACUGUCCCGUAGGAGAAGCACUUCCCAAAGGGAUCCCUACAAGAGGACGCGGUCCGGGCCAGAGGGAAGGGUGGCUUCGGAGGCCAUGGGACAGAAGACAAGGAAGAGAACCAUGAAAGAGCACAGGAAGAUGAUCCAAAAGCAGCGGUGCCCACAUUCAAGACGCCUUCAUCCUACAUCUGUCCCAGUCACGCCCGAGUCAAAGGAGACUGCGCUCUCAUGAUGCGGUUCUAUAGAACCCGAGGAGGAAGUUGUGUCGGGGCGGGGACUCAGCGCGGUCUUCCCCUGAUUUCUCCUUGUUAUCCACCAUUCCACCUGACUCGGCUCCACCUCCCUCUGAGGAUAACAGUGGUUAUCUCUCAACUAACGGCAAAGAGAUUCCGAUUAAACUGCAAAUAAAGUGACAUAAUUGGUGCUGCUUGCGAAGAGUUUUCUCUACUUACAGUAGAAGCUGUAGUAACUAUUGUACUGAUUUUUAGAAUCUACUACAUAAACCAGAAACUAUACAGUAAACUAGCAAUGAACAGAAAUCAGAAAGAGGCUCUUUAAAUUAUUCUUAAAAAGUGAGAUUUACUUGUUCAAUUCAUAAACUCAGCAGACACUUAAAAUGAUAAUAAUCUGAUUUUUGUUACAAAGCUGCGUUGGAUGUGGCUCUAGGUGUCGUCCCGUCGUACCCCCGUCGUCGUAACCCCCUGCUUGCAGGAUCUUUGCUGGCACCGUGAGCAGCUCCAUGUCAGGGUCAAAGCAAGCAGACAAAGACACCUUGUGGAGAGGGCUAAACUUCACUGUAUGAUUUCAGAUGUGGUUUUCUGAUCCUUCUGGGCUCAGUUCCCUCAUCUCUAAGACAGGGUAAACAUUUCUCAUUAAGGGUUUAAGAAACAAUUGACAAGCUAAUUAUAAAACACUUUGCCAAAAGAACAUGCCACACAAGCGCUCAACAAUAAAGGCCGCUCUGUAAUUGCAGAAUGUUUUGAAAGCCGAUCGGAGACAGUACG